CCUACGGGAGGCAGCAGUGGGGAAUAUUGCACAAUGGGGGAAACCCUGAUGCAGCGACGCCGCGUGAGUGAAGAAGUAUUUCGGUACGUAAAGCUCUAUCAGCAGGGAAGAAAAUGACGGUACCUGACUAAGAAGCCCCGGCUAACUACGUGCCAGCAGCCGCGGUAAUACGUAGGGGGCAAGCGUUAUCCGGAUUUACUGGGUGUAAAGGGAGCGUAGACGGCAGCGCAAGUCUGGAGUGAAAUCCCAUGGCUUAACCAUGGAACUGCUUUGGAAACUGUGCAGCUAGAGUGCAGGAGAGGUAAGCGGAAUUCCUAGUGUAGCGGUGAAAUGCGUAGAUAUUAGGAGGAACACCAGUGGCGAGGCGGCUUACUGGACUGUAACUGACGUUGAGGCUCGAAAGCGUGGGGAGCAAACAGGAUUAGAUACCCCAGUAGUC
This 439-nucleotide ribosomal RNA is filed under the name uncultured bacterium. RNAcentral describes it as "partial 16S ribosomal RNA". It matches the Rfam family "Bacterial small subunit ribosomal RNA", at positions 338 to 795 of the family's 1533-position model. The record is from RNAcentral.